UAUCUGGAAUAAACGGUAUGGAGCAAGGCGAUCUUGGGGCCUUUGUUUAGUCGUACCUUUGACACAACCGGGACGGAGACACUACAGUUCCGUCGAGUACCGUGCCCAGAAAUGGCACCCUCUCCUGGAAGGGAACACACUUCGGAGAUGGAUGCAAAUUUGGACUGCAGGUACCAUCAGGCGCGGCUGCUGGAACGGGUCUGUAUUGACCUGUCCGACCAGAGCCCUGUAUAGGAUCCACGUCUCUUCCUGUUGCUAUGGUUGUCUUUUUGCUGUGCUCGAUAUGCCUUAACCGUCAACCAAAUUCUGCGCCAAGGUGCGCUUCAACAUUGAUUUGGCGAUGAGUUUUAUUUGUUGCGAGAUGGGAACAAUAAACUUAGAUAUGUUGCUGAACACACCACCUCCUCGUUUGGAAAUGGGUCCCGUAUACACGUAAACUAUUUUUGGGUAAUUGCGGUACAUGUUUAAAGUAAAAUCUUCGGAUAAGGUGAAGUCGUAUACUGGUCUAUUAUACGCAAAAGAAAUGCUAAAUUCAGAAACGGCUUUUUAUUAAAUCGCUCUCAAAAUCCAAGCGUGCCAAAAGAUAUCCCAGUUCCGACCGUACCCUGCAAAGGAACCUCGAUUAUCGCGUCUUGCUCUUCGUAUCCGAUAUUUACAAAAAAUCGUUGCUUAAGUCAGGCGCUGGCUCUCCUGGAGUGAGGAUGUAUGUUCGGUUGCUGCACCUCAUCAGUGAAGAUCUGGCUCUGGACGGAAGCGGUCGCUACGUCGCCACGGGGGAAAGAGCCAUGAUGGUGGCGCCAUUUGGUAUGAUGCAUUGCAACUAGGUGGCCACCUGUCGUCGAACUCUGCAACUACUGAACUACAGGACAUCAACAAGCAACAUCGCGGUAGCUGGUCCCUCGGCCGUUCUGGAGUGGUUGCUUCGACACAACUUCGUUGAUUUUCAAAUAAAUUGUCUCUCUCCACUCUA
This is a long non-coding RNA of Ornithodoros turicata, 970 nucleotides long. RefSeq lists it as uncharacterized. Lineage: Eukaryota; Metazoa; Arthropoda; Arachnida; Ixodida; Argasidae. The record is from RefSeq and is a predicted model, not a curated record. The transcript has 4 exons.